AUACUUGCCUGGCAGGGGAGAUACCAUGAUCACAAAAGUGGUUUUCCCAGGGCGAGGCUCCUCCAUGGCACUCCGGCUGUGCUGACCCUGCGAUUUCCCCAAAUGUGGGAAACUCGACUGCAUAAUUUGUGGUAGUGGAGGACUGCAUUCAUGCUCUCCCCUG
This is a small nuclear RNA of Ochotona curzoniae (black-lipped pika), 163 nucleotides long. RefSeq annotates it as U1 spliceosomal RNA. The transcript has a single exon. Lineage: Eukaryota; Metazoa; Chordata; Mammalia; Lagomorpha; Ochotonidae. The record is from RefSeq and is a predicted model, not a curated record.